RNAcentral lists this long non-coding RNA (330 nucleotides) under Fukomys damarensis (Damara mole-rat). Its description in RNAcentral is "lncRNA (ENSFDAG00000029372.1)". Lineage: Eukaryota; Metazoa; Chordata; Mammalia; Rodentia; Bathyergidae. The record is from RNAcentral.
CCUGAAGGGAAGCGUCGUCUCUGUGAGAGUCCAGGAGGGAGAGACUGAGACUCUGCCUGCUGGUCUGAAAUGCGCAGAGUCAGCCCAGCCUUGCCUGGCCAGCCUUGCCUCAUUUGCAUCAUGGUCUUCAUGCUGUGUCCCCCCAGUUGGAGAAAGAGGCCCCACCCCAUUGUGCCAUCAGGACUAGCCAGAUUGGACAAGAUCCAGACAGUUCAGGAUACCUGGCUGGCUGACUUGAGUGCAAGUUUGAGGUUGCUGGUGACACUAGAGCCUAAGGGGCUGGACUCUCCCUGGAGUCUGGACGGGGGCUGCCCUCCCUCCACUCACCAU